CCUCACGCACCACACAUUGCUUUCUGUCUGUGGGAAACACGUGGGGGAUAAUUGCCGCCGAGGUGUCCAUCAUCGGGAAUUAAUGGACGCCUCCGCGUCGGUUAUCACUCUUGGAUUGGCAGGGGGAGCUGAUGCCAACGAUACAGUGUGGCGCAUUCUGAAACAGGCCAUCAAAAAUGACCUUGCCAAGAAAAUCUCAUGGCGGGGGAUGAAUGGAAAGAUUUCAUUUGAAAAUCUACACCUGAAGGCAGUAGUGAUGGAUGCAGUGAGGCGCAAUCCAUCCUGCUCAACUGCAACGGAUGUGCAGAUUGCGGAUGCCAUUAAGCGAUGGUUUUACUGGGCUGGGGAUAGGGAGGGAGGGAGGAAAAAACGCCAGCCGGCUCCAAACCAGAAGCAAACUGGUUUGGAUUAAAUCAAAUAAA
This is a long non-coding RNA of Gadus macrocephalus (Pacific cod), 422 nucleotides long. RefSeq lists it as uncharacterized. The transcript is spliced from 3 exons. The record is from RefSeq and is a predicted model, not a curated record. Lineage: Eukaryota; Metazoa; Chordata; Actinopteri; Gadiformes; Gadidae.